RNAcentral lists this ribosomal RNA (497 nucleotides) under uncultured bacterium. RNAcentral's name for it is "partial 16S ribosomal RNA". It matches the Rfam family "Bacterial small subunit ribosomal RNA", at positions 28 to 507 of the family's 1533-position model. The record is from RNAcentral.
GAUGAACGCUGGCGGCGUGCCUAAUACAUGCAAGUCGAGCGAACGGACCAGGAGCUUGCUUCUCUGAUGUUAGCGGCGGACGGGUGAGUAACAUGUGUAUAACCUACCUAUAAGACUGGGAUAAUUUCGGGAAACCGGAUCUAAUACCGGAUAAUAUUUUGAACCUCGUGGUUCAAAAGUGAAAUACGGUCUUUCUGUCAGUAAUAGCUGGAUCCGGCCUGCAUUAGCUAGUGGGUAAGGUACAGGCUUACCAAGGCAACGAUGGAUAGACGACCUAAGAGGGUGAUCGGCCACCUUGGAAGUGAGGCAGGGUCCAGACUCCUAGGGGAGGACGCAGUAGGGAAUCUUACGCAAUGGAGGAGAGCAUGACAGAGCAACGCGGCGGGAGUGAUGGAGGUGCUAGGAUCGUAAAGCUAUGAUAGUAGGAGAGAACAUAUGUGUAAUUAACCGUGAAGAUAUUGACGGUACCGAGUCAAAAAGCCCCGGCUAACUCCGUG